Molecule: long non-coding RNA, 573 nt
Organism: Schistocerca americana (American grasshopper)
Lineage: Eukaryota; Metazoa; Arthropoda; Insecta; Orthoptera; Acrididae
Exons: 5
Source: RefSeq, a predicted model, not a curated record
UGAGAAAAUAUUAAAGUCGUUGUUACGUCUAACAAUUCACUAGUCUAAACAAGAAUACCUGCGUUUCAAAAUACUGUACGUCCGCAGCUUGAAUUUUUAAGGACAGGAAAAGCUGGAGCACAGUUGUCAGAAUGUUUUCAAAAUUGAACCAUCUAAGAGAUGUGACUGGGUACACAACACAACAGCUUGUGAUGAUCACAGUGUCUUACUUUCAUAUACUGCUUUUCUGUUUUGCAAUUUUGAUGACUCUACCUUCUAUAUAGGAGUGUUUAUAAUGGCUGGUAUACUCGCUGUGCUCUUUAUUAUACUGGCAACAACAGCUGAUGAAUUAACAUAUAGCUGCAGUAACUAUUCUGGCUUUUGGCAAUGGUUCAGCAGACAUCUUUACCUCUUUGGCUGGAGCACUAAGUGGACAUUCAGAACUGGUCUUCGCUGAACUUCUAGGCUCUGGAAUCCUUAUAACAACAGUUGUAGUGGGCAUUAUUUGUAUAAUGAAUCCAAUAUAUUUGUUUGGUCGCCCUUUCCUUCGAGACAGCAUAUUUUACAUCAUAGCGAUCACAUGGAUAAUUUGUG